Long non-coding RNA from Dama dama (fallow deer), 1775 nucleotides. RefSeq lists it as uncharacterized. The record is from RefSeq and is a predicted model, not a curated record. NCBI's taxonomy places the organism in Eukaryota, Metazoa, Chordata, Mammalia, Artiodactyla, Cervidae. The transcript is spliced from 3 exons.
GAGGCAUUUUGAGCCCCAGCUGUGACUGGUGGCUCAGACGCUAAAGUGUCUGCCUACAGUGCAGGAAACCUGGGUUCAAUCCCUGGGUUGGGAAGAUCCCCUGGAGAAGGAAAUGGCAACCCACUCCAGUACUCUUGCCUGGAGAAUCCCAUGGAUGGAGGAGCCUGGUAGGCUACAGUCCAUGGGGUCGCAGAGUUGGACACGACUGAGCAGCUUCACUUCACUUGUGACUGUUCCUCUGUCCAGGGGGCUCUGGGCAGCCAUCAACCCUGAACGAGUGUCCUGGAGGGCCCCAGGCUUUGUGUGAGUGGGGGACUGAGCUGUGGUUUAGGCUCCUUGUCACGUAUCCCCACAGGGGAGAACCCCAUGGACAGAGGAGCCUGACGGGCUAUGACCCGUGGGGUCACAAAGAGUUGGAUGCGACUUACCACGUGCAGCACCCACAUUUUUUGUGUGUGGUUUUUCGGGUAAAAGCUCCUUGGCCAACUUCAAUGCUCAUAGGCAUUUAGCUUCUGUUCUCAAAAGGAGCUAAGGACAAAAGGGUCUUGGCCAGAAAGGGACGCUUAGACCAUCCAGCUCUCUCACCUGGAUGAAAAAGUGAGGCACAGAGGUGGGGAGGCAACUUCUCAGACAGCUGAUUAGCAGCAAAAUGAGCGCCCCUGCCAUGGGUUUUUUCUCUGACCAAGCACACAGGCUUUGGGCCUGUGUGACCAAGUAAGACCCCAGCCCUCAUCCAGCUCUGGGCACAAGCCACUGGCCUGACCCCAAGAGUCUGCCCAACCCAACAGACCUCCAGUGGGGGCUUCUGACCUUGGUCCUUGUUCCCACCUCCAUUGCCCAAAACAACCUGCAGCACAGCAGUGUCUUCUCAAAUUACUUGUUAAAUACAGAGAGAAAACAAUAAUUUACAGUGGAGAAAAUGCAGCUAAACCAUGUGAUCCACAUUAACAUCAAGAAGAAUGGAACAGAUGGACAUUUCAUGUCUCCUGAUAUAACGUACUGAGAACACAACAUCCUUUCUGCAGCCUUGUCAAAAGUGCAGAGCCUGAAUCUCUCGUGAUUAAACACUGGACAAACCCAUACCAAGCCAUGUUCUACAAAAUUACUGCCCUUCACUCAGUCAUGAAAGAUAAAAACUAAGGAACUGUUCCAAAUUAAAGGAGACUAAGGAGAGACUUAAUAACUAAGCACAGUGUGUAAUCCUAGACCAGAAAAUAAACUUACCCAACACACACUUUCUGAGAGAAGCAUUUUGGAGAAUUGGGUCUCUAGGUUUUUAAGGCUGUGUCUCUUCUACUGAGACCAGGGGCCCAACAGCAGUUCUUACUUUGUAAUAAUUUGAAGCAACCAAUAAAGACACCUUGAACAUGAAAAAAAAUUUUUUCUGACCUUCGUAUUGUUUACAUUAAGACUGAUGACUGACCGCUCAUAAACGAUGGAAAUCGGAAGACAGUGAAAAGACUUAUUUAAAGCCCUGGGGUCUUAAAAACUUCCAUCAUAGAAUUUUUUUUACCUAAUGAAAAUAACCUUUAAAGUAAAGAUGUUCUCAGAUAAACAAAAGCUGAGAGAAUUUAUCGCUAUGAGACUUGCACGAAAGGAAUCCUACAUGGAAGAAUAAGCGUUCCAAAAGAUGAAGAAACUGGGUCUCAGAGCAGAAUAACUUUCUCGCCCAGGAUCACGCAGCCAGCCAGAGGCGGAGUUGGAGCUGGGAUUAGAACCCGGGUCUGCCUUUCCCUGCCCUGUCUGGUUUCUGGGGUGUUUCGCUCAGCUCUAGU